ACCUACGGGGCGCAUCAGUAGUUAAUUUUCGUCAAUUUUCUCCAGCCUGAACGAGCAAUGCCGCGUGAACGAGGAAGGUCUUCGGAUCGUAAAGUUCUGUUGAAGGGGAAAAAGAGCGGAGAGAGGAAAUGAACUCCGAUUGAUAUUACCCUUCGAGGAAGUCACGGCUAACUACGUGCCGGCAGCCGCGGUAAUACGUAGGUGGCGAGCGUUAUCCGGAAUGAUUGGGCGUAAAGGGUGCGUAGGCGGCCUGCUAAGUCUGGAGUGAAAGGUACCGGCUCAACCGGUACAGGCUCUGGAAACUU
This 305-nucleotide ribosomal RNA is filed under the name uncultured bacterium. Its description in RNAcentral is "bacterial SSU rRNA". It matches the Rfam family "Bacterial small subunit ribosomal RNA", at positions 337 to 635 of the family's 1533-position model. The record is from RNAcentral.